AUACGGAGGAUGCGAGCGUUAUCCGGAUUUAUUGGGUUUAAAGGGUGCGUAGGCGGGCUGUUAAGCGUGAGGUGAAAGCUCGGGGCUCAACCCCGGAACUGCCUCGCGAACUGGCGGUCUUGAAUGUCCGUGCCGUGGGAGGAAUGUGUGGUGUAGCGGUGAAAUGCAUAGAGAUCACACAGAACACCGAUUGCGAAGGCAUCUCACGAACGGAUGAUUGACGCUGAGGCACGAAAGCGUGGGGAUCAAACAGGAUUAGAUACCCUGGUAUUCCACGCCGUAAACGAUGAUGACUAACCGUCGGCGAUAGACAGCCGGUGGCCAAGCGAAAGCGAUAAGUCAUCCACCUGGGGAGUACGUCGGCAACGAUGAAACUCAAAGGAAUUGACGG
RNAcentral lists this ribosomal RNA (391 nucleotides) under uncultured bacterium. RNAcentral's name for it is "partial 16S ribosomal RNA". It matches the Rfam family "Bacterial small subunit ribosomal RNA", at positions 523 to 916 of the family's 1533-position model. The record is from RNAcentral.